This 411-nucleotide ribosomal RNA is filed under the name Lachnospiraceae bacterium canine oral taxon 073. RNAcentral's name for it is "bacterial SSU rRNA". It matches the Rfam family "Bacterial small subunit ribosomal RNA", at positions 9 to 403 of the family's 1533-position model. Lineage: Bacteria; Bacillati; Bacillota; Clostridia; Lachnospirales; Lachnospiraceae. The record is from RNAcentral.
GAGUUUGAUCCUGGCUCAGGAUGAACGCUGGCGGCAUGCCUAACACAUGCAAGUUGAACGAGAAGUUCUGGAGGGAGUCUUCGGACGAACGAAGGAAUGGAAAGUAGCGAACGGGUGAGUAACGCGUGGGCAACCAACCUUACACAGGGGGAUAACGCAGAGAAAUUUGCGCUAAUACCGCAUAAGCGCACAGUACCGCAUGGUACCGUGUGAAAAACUCCGGUGGUGUAAGACGGGCCCGCGUCUGAUUAGUUAGUUGGUGAGGUAAAAGCUCACCAAGGCGACGAUCAGUAGCCGACCUGAGAGGGUGAUCGGCCACAUUGGGACUGAGACACGGCCCAAACUCCUACGGGAGGCAGCAGUGGGGGAUAUUGCACAAUGGAGGGAACUCUGAUGCAGCAAUGCCGCGUG